AACCGCCGCUGUGCCUAUGCUACCGCAUGGGCCUCUGCGCCUGGGAGGCUUGCGGCUGCCAGGCUUAAGUCACGGGGCAGCAGGAGUUCAGAUUUUUUUUAGGCCUCUGAAACAAGGCUAGCGCAUAUUAGCAUCGAGAGUCAGGAGAGUACGAAUGGGAAGUACCGUCAUAAAAUUAUCUUUGCUACUAGCAAUAGGAAGCACCGUCAUAAAAUUAACUCUGGUAAUAAAAUCGAUUGGAUAUAUAUUGUUUCUAGGAAACUAGGAAGGAUCCCGUGUAGAAAGUGUGGAUAGCUAGCCUUUUUCAUCGGAUCAUUUGGUUUUUUCUUGAAAUAUUUCUUUCAAAACAGUCUCACUUUUUUCUUAAGUUGUAUUGGUGCUCCCUAAGAUCGAAAGCAGGAAUACUACUUUUCUGUAAAAUCACAAAAAUGCACACAUUUGGGACCUUUCCUAAGCUGUGUCUUCGAGCAACCAAAAAGCUGAUGUUAGUUUAUUUUCAUUUUUUUUGAGAGAAGAAAAUUCUUUGCUUGAUGCUUAAUCAGAGAUGAAAAUAUUGAUCAUUUUUUACAUGUGUGCUGAUCAUUUUUUUACUGGACUGCUGUCAGGUAUAAUUGGAGUGCUGUCAUAAGUGGAGUGUUGUUAGUUACAUGUGUGCUGAUCAUUCUAAUCACAUUGUUCGUCGUUAAUCAUGUGAAGAAAAUAUUCAAAGUUAUAACUUGAAUUUUUGUUGAAUCUGGCAAUUGUAUGGCCUAGAAUUUAUUGUUCAUUAGUCAGAAAGACUACGUUCAUUAGUUCAGGUCUUGCUGAUUUACUUUGCAGCAACAUGGUAUAUAAACCUGAUGCAUUCUCUGAUGAACAGACUUUAUAAGCCAUCACUCACAUUCUGAUGAACAGACUUUAAUUAUCAUGGCUAGAUGCACUUAUUGUUUUCGUUUGUACUCUAUAAAUCAAUUACAUGUUUCCUUAGUGGAAGACCACAAGUCUAGACUAGUAGUCUAGUAUUGGAUCCCUUGGGACUGAAUGAUCCCUUGCAUGCUUAUUAAAACGACGUUUAAACGUCGUUUAAACGACGUUUAAACUAUAAAACGCUGGAGAAAACUGAAACUAUAAAACGUUUUAGUUUUCUUCGUAAAACGUCGUUUAACUACGUUUAAACGCCACGUUUUGGCGUUUAAACGUUGUUUAGCGUGAAACGCCACGUUUCGGGCGUUCUACGGCGGCCCAGCCUAAUUCACCAAACCUGGUCGCGCUCACGUUUAGGGCACCAGACCGCGCUCAAGUCCACCGUUCUCUGCCCCCAGACCGCGCUCAAGUCCACCCUCUCUGCCCCCAGGCCGCUCCAGGCCGUCGCUCCUCCCCGUGCAGCCUCCUCCAGGCCGCCGCGGCUCCUCCCGUCCUCCGCCGCCGCUCCAGGCCGCAGCUCCUCCGCCACAGCUCCAGGCCGCCGCUUGGCCGCGCCAGGCCGCUGCUCGGCCGCGCCAGGCCGCCGCUCAGCCGCCAGCAGCUCCAGGCCGCGCUCCAGGCCGCUCCCGCUGUCUGCCGGCCACUACAGAGACAGCCAACCCUCCAGCCCUGCUUCACUGGUGACUGGUGAGUGGUGAGUACCAUCUUAAUUUGUUGAAGGAAGAAGGAUUGAGGUGAGGUGCUUCCUGCUGUCAUCUGAACAUAUGCAUUCACUGGUGACUGGUGACUGGUGAGUGGUGAGUGGUGAGUGGUGAGUACCAUCUUAUUGCAGAAUAGAUUGGAGGAGAAAUGGCUGAUUUUAGCACGGAAGCAUCUGCAGCUGGCUCUCAAAUACGAAGUGAUGGAUAUGAUCCACUGAAAGAUCCAAAAAGGAAACCCAAAUCUGAUGAUCCAGGCUGGAAGUAUGCCUAUUAUGUAGAGCCUGGCAAGCGAGAGUUGAUCCAAUGCGCCCUUUGCCCGAGGAAAAUUAAAGGAGGAAUUCUGAGGGUGAAGAAACAUCUUGUGGGCGGAUUCUUGAGGAUGAUGAAGAUGAAGAUGAUGUUGAUGAGGGUGAUGAGAAUGAAGAUGAUGAUGAUGCUGUUGAUGAGGGUGAUGAGAAUGAAGACGAUGACAAUUUUGUGCUUGACGACCUUGACAUGGAUGAUGAAGAAGAAACAAACAAUAGUGGUGGCCGUGGUGAUGAGCAAGACAAGGAUGAUGUUGGUUUAGAUGAUUUGGAUGAUGGUUAUUGAGUGUUUGAGUAACUCUUGUGUGCUUGUGGUUGUGGACAUGGCAUUCUACUUUAGUUGCUUUAGUUGAACUUGUGUUAUUGUGGUGAUGUGGUUGUGGACAUGUCAUUUUGCACAAUAUUAUUAUGUGAACUUAUGUUGGUUGUUUGGUAUUUGACUUGAUAUAAUUGCUUGAAAUUAUGAUAUAUUGAAAUUUCCCUAUGUUGUUUAAAACUACGUUUAAACUUUGUUUAAACCGUUUAAAAGUUAAAACUCACCCAUGAGCGUUUCAACGUUUCGUCGUUUUAAUAACCUUGAUCCCUUGGGACUAGUAGUCUAGAGAAAUACACCCGAGUGGAAAAAAUCCUACUAGGGAAUUGAGGUGUCAUUUAAAAUCCCCUUAUUAGUGGAUUAAUUCCCUAGAUUUUUUAUCCAUUUGUUGCCAAACUAGCGCUAAGCGAGCAAGUAGCGGCGGCCGGCAGCGGCACGGGGGCACCUGCCAGCACCGCGCAACAUAAGGGGCAGGCGGCGCUGCAGCGUCUUGUGGUGGGCAGGGCGCUGGGCGCAGGGCAGCUGCCAGCUGCGAGCCGCCACUGCAAUCCGGCAGCGUGUCGGCGCCGACAAGAGCUCACCAGCAGCGGCAGGGGCGCUCGGGGCCGCGCGUCCGGCGGACGGCAACACCAGCGCAGAAACGAUUAGCGAGACGCGAGUCCGAAUUUCCCUCAUUCUGUAAGUUCAAAUUGAAACAUUCAGUUUGUUAGGGACAGGCGGACAGCAAUUUGUGAAUCGCUUAGCCUGAAUUAGAGUUUGUCUCCAAAUUACUUUAGUCAAAUAUGCGUUAAGAAAUUUCAAUUCAUGCUCAAUUAUGUGUUAUCAUAUAUAUCCUAUAUAUAUAUAUAUAUAUAUAUAUAUAUAUAUAUAUAUAUAUAUAUAUAUAUAUAUAUAUAUAUAUAUAUAUAUAUAUAUAUAUAUAUAUAUAUAUAUAUAUAAUGCAAUUUGAACUAUGCGGCAUUAUACAUGUCAAAUAUUAGCUUUUUGGUUGUCAAUUCUCAUCAACUCCCCACCCUGCACUUUCUUAAGAAUACACUAACAAAUUGCUUGUAAGUUGCUACAAUUUUUAUUUAUAUGUGUAGAGUAUAAAACACAAAGACACUAUGUGUGUUUAUUGGCUAGGUGGAUGUGAAUGUAGAUUUAGAGCUAAUAACUAUGGUUUGAAUCCUGUUUUGUGCAAAAUUUUAGUUUUUUACCGUUUAAAUAUGGGCAGCAGACAAUGGCUUCCAAUUAUUAGUAUAGAGUAUAAAACAUAGAGACACGUGUGUUAUGUUGGUUAGGUAGGUGUGAAUGUGGGUUUAGAGCCUGGUUCGAAUCCUUAUGUAUGUAUACUUUUAGCUAUUUUUACCAUUUAAGACCCUAUUUGGAACCUCUAAAACUGAUAGUUAGCUACUAAAAAUUAGUUGUUGGGUUCCAAACACCAUCAACUAACACCGCAACUAAUUGUUAGCUAUCUCGCAGCUAACAAUUAGUUCAUUGACUGGCUCAAUCGAGCUAAUAAUUUAUUUGUUGACUAAAUAUUAGCUCUAAGGUUCCAAACGGAGCCUGGGUACGUUUGGUUGAGGAGUGAGAGGGAAUAGAGUGGUUCUGUUCCUAUUUUCUAGUGUUUGGUUAUACAGCAAGAAAGAGCAGAGCGGCUCGGGGAGUGACUCUAUUCCAUUAUCUCUACAACUAUUAAGAACCUAUUGUAGACUGCCCCCGCCUCUACACCCGCCAUCCAGCCCGCACGUCGCAAUCCCGUCGCGGCCGCCGCGAACCACUCGCCCGCACGCCCUACGCCCAUCCGCCCGCCCGCACGCUGCAAACCCAGCCGCGACCAUGGCGAACCGCCCGCCCUACCGCCCGGUCGGGCCAGGCGGCGUGUCAAUCUCUGAGAUCUACAGGGACGCACGACGCUGCCGAUGGCGAAACGAGGAAAAUCCGCACCUCGGCUCCAGAUCCGCCCGUAGCCGCCGUUCGGCUUCCGUGGAACCCACCGGCGCCGGCAGUCCCCACGAUCAUUCUGAUCUCGCUCGCUGCGCUCCUCAUCCGCAUGCUGGUUUCCGUGGGCCCCUACUCCGGUCAGGGUGCGGCGCCCAAGUUCGGCAACUAUGAGGCGCAGCGGCACUGGAUGGAGCUCACACUCCACCUCACGCCCGCCGACUGGUACCGCAACACCUCCGACAAUGACCUUGCCUACUGGGGCCUGGACUACCUGUCCCUCUCCGCCUACCAGAGCCUCGUCCACGGGCAGGUUGCUGUCGAGGCCCCGCCAUCCUAGCCGUUCUCGUUGCCGUCAGCUGCCCGGCUGUGGCGCCUACGUCCGCGCGCCUUCACGCCUUCGCAUUACAUCGGGUUUCGCCACCUCCUCCUCGUCACUCCCGUUUGGAAGCUGGUGCCGUGGUCGAGCUUGGACCCGAACUUCUCAACCGGGGGCAACUUUGAGUUCGCCUUCAACGAGGCCAACUUCUCCAAUCAGGAAUUGCAGAUUGAGGUCAUCGCGGGGGACGAUGACGCGCCGGGGUCUAGGGGCGACGAUGCUGGAGGAGGUGGCCUCGCCGACUGGGCGCGCCAUUGCAAGCACCGACGCUGGGAGUUCUUCAAGGAGAAAGGUACAUCGACAGAUUCUGGCUACGCAUGUCGUUGUUGUCUUAUGAUCGUGCGAUUUUUUGUGUUGAUUUGUGAAUUUGCUAGGGAGUUGUGUGCCUCAUUAUUUUGGUGUAAACUCUGAUUUUCGUAGGUACACGACAAUAUAGGUUAUAAUGGGAAAUGAAUUGGAGAAGGAUGAAGAGGAAUUUCAAUUUGGAGUUGCUGCGAUGUACAUGUACGAAUUAUCUAACACUUUGAUCUCUCACCAACCACAAUAAUUGUCAAACGAAUUUACAAGAAUAAAACCAUGGCUUUGCGGGUGGAGAAGCAAUAGGAGAAGCUUUCCUGUAACUUGUAUUUGCCCAGAAGAUUGAACUCCUAGCGGCUCACCUGAGGGUCAAGCAAGUGAACUACAUCAGGCUUCCUGACCAUCCUGGGCAGGCUUUACACUAUUCUCAGGUAUACCUUUUAUUUUCCAUGCUGCCUUGCAUGGUCGCAUAGGUAGCUUAAGAGAGUUUUAACCUCUAGGAUUGUCCUGAUCAAUUAUGCAUGUUGCAUUUCUCUCUUGUUCAUUAGGCAAAGGGAGCGGGCUCUGUUUUAACAAGAUAUAUCAAAGAAUUGUAGACUGUAGCACUCUCAUAUAAGUCAUCUUUUUUAUUAAACCAAAAUAUGAUGCAUCUUGUUGGACCUUUCCGGCUUCAGCACAGGUAUCAAUUAAGAUAGAUUAGAGAAAAACAUUAGCAUGGAUCCCUGAGGUGAUCAUUUCUUUAAACAGGUACUCAACCAUUUGUAAAUCACCAUUUUUAGAAAAGCUACUAAUUACCACAGAGUAUGGAACAUAGUCUGGCAGCAGUUUUAUUGCUUGCAUUACAGGUGAUUGAGACCGUUACCUGUAGAUUCCAUGAGUUUGUGUUCUCAAGGACAUAAAUAUGUUAUCUUGAUUCACACAAAUGUAAAAUACAAAAAAAAAA
This 5761-nucleotide long non-coding RNA is filed under the name Zea mays. Its description in RNAcentral is "long non-coding RNA (ZMAY_LNC002814)". Lineage: Eukaryota; Viridiplantae; Streptophyta; Magnoliopsida; Poales; Poaceae. The record is from RNAcentral.